This 1478-nucleotide ribosomal RNA is filed under the name uncultured bacterium. RNAcentral describes it as "bacterial SSU rRNA". It matches the Rfam family "Bacterial small subunit ribosomal RNA". The record is from RNAcentral.
AGAGUUUGAUCAUGGCUCAGGAUGAACGCUAGCGGCAGGCUUAACACAUGCAAGUCGAGGGGUAACGGGGAAGCUUGCUUCCGCCGACGACCGGCGCACGGGUGCGUAACGCGUAUACAAUCUACCUUAUACUGGGGUAUAGCCUUUAGAAAUGAAGAUUAACCCCCCAUAGUCUCUUAGAGUGGCAUCACUUCUAGAGUAAAGGUUACGGUAUAAGAUGAGUAUGCGUUCUAUUAGUUUGUUGGUGUGGUAACGGCACACCAAGACUACGAUAGAUAGGGGCCCUGAGAGGGGGAUCCCCCACACUGGUACUGAGACACGGACCAGACUCCUACGGGAGGCAGCAGUGAGGAAUAUUGGACAAUGGAGGCAACUCUGAUCCAGCCAUGCCGCGUGUAGGAUGACUGCCCUAUGGGUUGUAAACUACUUUUAUACAGGAAGAAACACCUCUACGUGUAGAGGCUUGACGGUACUGUAAGAAUAAGGAUCGGCUAACUCCGUGCCAGCAGCCGCGGUAAUACGGAGGAUCCAAGCGUUAUCCGGAAUCAUUGGGUUUAAAGGGUCCGUAGGUGGAUAAUUAAGUCAGAGGUGAAAUCUUGCAGCUCAACUGUAAAAUUGCCUUUGAUACUGGUUAUCUUGAGUUAUUAUGAAGUAGUUAGAAUAUGUAGUGUAGCGGUGAAAUGCAUAGAUAUUACAUAGAAUACCAAUUGCGAAGGCAGAUUACUAAUAAUCAACUGACACUGAUGGACGAAAGCGUGGGUAGCGAACAGGAUUAGAUACCCUGGUAGUCCACGCCGUAAACGAUGGUUACCAGCUGUUUGGACUUCGGUCUGAGUGGCUAAGCGAAAGUGAUAAGUAACCCACCUGGGGAGUACGUUCGCAAGAAUGAAACUCAAAGGAAUUGACGGGGGCCCGCACAAGCGGUGGAGCAUGUGGUUUAAUUCGAUGAUACGCGAGGAACCUUACCAGGGCUUAAAUGUAAGUUGCAUUAGUUAGAGAUAGCUAUUUCUUCGGACCACUUACAAGGUGCUGCAUGGUUGUCGUCAGCUCGUGCCGUGAGGUGUCAGGUUAAGUCCUAUAACGAGCGCAACCCCUGUUGUUAGUUGCCAGCGAGUCAUGUCGGGAACUCUAACAAGACUGCCAGUGCAAACUGUGAGGAAGGUGGGGAUGACGUCAAAUCAUCACGGCCCUUACGUCCUGGGCUACACACGUGCUACAAUGGUAGGGACAGAGAGCAGCCACUACGCGAGUAGGAGCGAAUCUAUAAACCCUAUCACAGUUCGGAUCGGAGUCUGCAACUCGACUCCGUGAAGCUGGAAUCGCUAGUAAUCGGAUAUCAGCCAUGAUCCGGUGAAUACGUUCCCGGGCCUUGUACACACCGCCCGUCAAGCCAUGGAAGUUGGAAGUGCCUGAAGUCCGUCACCGCAAGGAGCGGCCUAGGGUAAAGUCGAUAACUAGGGCUAAGUCGUAACAAGGUA